RNAcentral lists this ribosomal RNA (351 nucleotides) under uncultured Sphingobacteriales bacterium. Its description in RNAcentral is "bacterial SSU rRNA". It matches the Rfam family "Bacterial small subunit ribosomal RNA", at positions 355 to 704 of the family's 1533-position model. Lineage: Bacteria; Pseudomonadati; Bacteroidota; Sphingobacteriia; Sphingobacteriales. The record is from RNAcentral.
UAGGGAAUAUUGGGCAAUGGGCGCAAGCCUGACCCAGCCAUGCCGCGUGCAGGAAGAAGGCCCUCUGGGUUGUAAACUGCUUUUGACGGGGAAGAAACGACUCUUGCGAGAGGCAUUGACGGUACCCGCAGAAUAAGCACCGGCUAACUCCGUGCCAGCAGCCGCGGUAAUACGGAGGGUGCGAGCGUUGUCCGGAUUUAUUGGGUUUAAAGGGUGCGUAGGCGGUCUGGUAAGUCGGCGAUGAAAGCCCGGGGCUCAACCCCGGAACUGUCGUCGAUACUGUCGGACUUGAGUACGGUUGAGGCUGGCGGAAUGGGCGGUGUAGCGGUGAAAUGCAUAGAUACCGUCCAG